CUGGGCUGGCUUUAGCUCAGCGGUUACUUCGAGUACAUUGUAACCACCUCUCUGGGUGGUUCGAGACCCGCGGGUGCUUUCCAGCUCUUUUACUGCUGAAGUUCAGCUCCUUUUCCAUGGGGAACCAUGGAGAAAUGGCUGAUUUUAGCACUGGGCAGGAAAUACAGAGAUGGACAGGGUGCAUCUCACAGUGCUAGAAAACACAGCCUGUCUCUGUCUCCCAGGCUGGAGUGCAGCGGCUCCAUCUCUGCUCACAGCAACCUCUGCCUCCUGGGCUCAAGCGAUCCUCCUGCCUCAGCCUCCUCCCGAGUAGCUGGGACCACAGGUACUAACCAGGCCUGACCCUACUUAGCUUCCAAGAUCAGAGGAGACCGGGCACGUUCAAGAUGACUUGGAACUGAAGAAGCUGGCAAUCUGGAAAUGCCAAUGGACGCAGAUUUUAAAAGCCCCAGCAAAAGUCUGCUUUCUCUAUUCAUAGGACCAGGAUCAGGAAGAGGACAGCUUAGAAAGACAUAAAAUUCUUAGACAAUAACUGUUCUACCCCAGCCAAACACCAAACACACACACACACACACACACACACACACUCCAACAACUAUGGCCCCACCCACUUCAGCAAAGGCUGAGUAGGAGCCUAAACUUCCACCACUGAGCGGCUAUAAGAAGUUACCCCAAGACCCCACCAACGUGGUGUUAAAGAAGGCCAAAUAGGGGACAAAAUUUUUAUCCAUGCUGACCAGUUAUGAGGUUCCCUUUUUCCCUCUGUGAAAUAAAAAUAAAGCCCGUAGGUCCCCAGGCAAGAUGAAAUGGACUCCUUGUUGCAAAAGAGACCCCAGAAAACUUUAAAAGCUGGAUUCUAUGGCUUUGGCAAGUGGGAGACCCUUCACAUGUUUCCUGUGGUGUUUUUACAAGUAUUCCCAUAAUUUUUGAGCAGUUUCUUACUUUCUGAAGAAAAAACAGAUAUUCGUUUCUUCUUGCACUUUUGUCACCACUAUCCUGAG
Molecule: long non-coding RNA, 1001 nt
Filed under: Homo sapiens (human)
Lineage: Eukaryota; Metazoa; Chordata; Mammalia; Primates; Hominidae
Description: HSALNT0329848
Rfam family: Vault RNA (bases 3-91)
Source: RNAcentral